AUAUUGGAGGGCAAGUCUGGUGCCAGCAGCCGCGGUAAUUCCAGCUCCAAUAGCGUAUAUUAAAGUUGUUGCGGUUAAAAAGCUCGUAGUUGGAUCUCAGCUCAUGCUAUGUGGUCCACUUAAUGGUGGUUACUACUUAGCUGAGCAUUUUACAGAUUUGUCUCUUGAUGCUCUUCACCGAGUGUCAAGAGUGGUCUGUACGUUUACUUUGAAAAAAUUAGAGUGCUCAAAGCAGGCACUAUGCCCGAAUAAUCUUGCAUGGAAUAAUGGAAUAGGACCUUGGUUCUAUUUUGUUGGUCUCCGGAAUCUGAGGUAAUGAUUAAGAGGGACAGACGGGGGCAUUCGUAUUGCGCCGCUAGAGGUGAAAUUCUUGGACCGGCGCAAGACGAACUACAGCGAAAGCAUUGCCAAGAAUGUUUUCAUUAAUCAAGAACGAAAGUUAGAGGUUCGAAGGCGAUCAGAUACCGCCCUAGUUCUAACCAUAAACGAUGCCAA
Molecule: ribosomal RNA, 495 nt
Filed under: Pseudoschoengastia petrolinensis
Lineage: Eukaryota; Metazoa; Arthropoda; Arachnida; Trombidiformes; Trombiculidae
Description: SSU rRNA
Rfam family: Eukaryotic small subunit ribosomal RNA
Source: RNAcentral